GGGGAUGCAAUGGGUUCGACAGGGAGGAAACGAUCCGGGCCGCGAGCCGAGGCGCCUGACCUCGCUAAAACGGGCAAUGCCAAUAAGUGGCAACACCUUCACUCGCGCCCCUGUGGCGCUUGCUGCGUAAGUAACGCGGCACGUCCUACCGGACCUCGCCCUGGUGGGUGCGGCUAGGGCGUCGAAAUGCCAGGGUGCUCUUGCCCCGAACGCCGGCUAAGGGCAGGAAAAGACGCCAGUCGGCUGGCCCGGGGGAACCCUGCCGGUAGGGGUUCCUCGGGCGACAGCAAAAUACCGGCUACGCUCGUAGAAGCCCGGUAGGGAACUCUCUGGACAGGGGUUCGAUUCCCCUCAUCUCCACCA
RNAcentral lists this transfer-messenger RNA (363 nucleotides) under Chloroflexia. Its description in RNAcentral is "JAFGKG01 sp016928715 X1 Standard tmRNA". It matches the Rfam family "transfer-messenger RNA". From Rfam's summary of the family: Bacterial tmRNA, also known as 10Sa RNA or SsrA, is named for its dual tRNA and mRNA-like properties. Its role is to liberate the mRNA from a stalled ribosome. Lineage: Bacteria; Bacillati; Chloroflexota. RNAcentral also lists the same sequence under 1 other name. The record is from RNAcentral.